GAUGAAGAAUGCAGCGAAAUGCGAUAAGUAAUGUGAAUUGCAGAAUUCAGUGAAUCAUCGAAUCUUUGAACGCAUCUUGCGCUCCUUGGUAUUCCUUGGAGCAUGCCUGUUUGAGUAUCAUGAGCAAAUCUCAAAGUCAAUUCCUUUUGUUGAUUCAAUUGGUUUUGCUUUGGACUUGGAGGCCUUGCAGAUUUCACAGUCUGCUCCUCUUAAAUGCAUUAGCUGGAUCUCAGUAAUUAUGCUUGGUUCCACUCGGCGUGAUAAGUAUCACUCGCUGAGGACACUGUUAAAAAGGUGGCCAGGAAAAUACUGAUUGAACCGCUUCUAACGGUCUAUUAAGUUAGACAAUUACCCUUAAGUUUGAUCUCAAAUCAGGUAGGACUACCCGCUGAACUUAAGCAUAUCAAUAAGCGGAGGA
RNAcentral lists this unclassified non-coding RNA (418 nucleotides) under soil metagenome. Its description in RNAcentral is "partial contains 5.8S ribosomal RNA, internal transcribed spacer 2, and large subunit ribosomal RNA". The stretch from base 1 to 120 matches the Rfam family "5.8S ribosomal RNA", at positions 35 to 154 of the family's 154-position model. The record is from RNAcentral.